GCUGCACAUUGUUAGAGGCUGGAGUUGGGGCCAUUGGCUGGCUGAGGAGCUCACAAGUGUGGAUAGUGCACUGCACGAGGGGCAAGUGUUUCACUAACACCGCAAGGGGCUUUAUCCAGAUGAGUGGAGUUUGAUAGUAAUUAUUUCUACAAGU
Zalophus californianus (California sea lion) is the source of this 154-nucleotide small nucleolar RNA. The record is from Ensembl. Lineage: Eukaryota; Metazoa; Chordata; Mammalia; Carnivora; Otariidae.